Molecule: ribosomal RNA, 497 nt
Filed under: uncultured bacterium
Lineage: Bacteria
Description: partial 16S ribosomal RNA
Rfam family: Bacterial small subunit ribosomal RNA
Source: RNAcentral
GAUGAACGCUGGCGGCGUGCCUAAUACAUGCAAGUCGAGCGAACAGAUAAGGAGCUUGCUCCUUUGACGUUAGCGGCGGACGGGUGAGUAACACGUGGGUAACCUACCUAUAAGACUGGGAUAACUUCGGGAAACCGGAGCUAAUACCGGAUAACAUUUGGAACCGCAUGGUUCUAAAGUGAAAGAUGGUUUUGCUAUCACAUAUAGAUGGACCCGCGCCGUAUUAGCUAGUUGGUAAGGUAACGGCUUACCAAGGCAACGAUACGUAGCCGAGCUGAGAGGGUGAUCGGCCACACUGGAACUGAGACACGGUCCAGACUCCUACGGGAGGCAGCAGUAGGGAAUCUUCCGCAAUGGGCGAAAGCCUGACGGAGCAACGCCGCGUGAGUGAUGAAGGGUUUCGGCUCGUAAAACUCUGUUAUUAGGGAAGAACAAACGUGUAAGUAACUGUGCACGUCUUGACGGUACCUAAUCAGAAAGCCACGGCUAACUACGUG